RNAcentral lists this ribosomal RNA (492 nucleotides) under uncultured bacterium. RNAcentral's name for it is "partial 16S ribosomal RNA". It matches the Rfam family "Bacterial small subunit ribosomal RNA", at positions 29 to 507 of the family's 1533-position model. The record is from RNAcentral.
AGUGAACGCUGGCGGUAGGCCUAACACAUGCAAGUCGAACGGCAGCACAGUAAGUGCUUGCUCUUACGGGUGGCGACUGGCGGACGGGCGAGGAAUACCUCGGAAUCUACUUUUUCGCGGGGGAUAACGUAGGCGAUCUUACCCCAAUCCCCCAUACGACCUACGGGUGAAAGCAGGGGACCUUCGGCCCUUGCGUGAUUGUAUGAGCCGAUGUCGGAUUAGCUAGUUGGCGGGGUAACGGCCCACCAAGGCGACGAUCCGUAGCUGGUCUGAGAGGAUGAUCAGCCACACUGGAACUGAGACACGGUCCAGACUCCUACGGGAGGCAGCAGUGGGGAAUAUUGGACAAUGAGCGCAAGCCUGAUCCAGCCAUACCGCGUGGGUGAAGAAGGCCUUCGGGUUGUAAAGCCCUUUUGUUGGGAAAGAAAAGCAGUAGGUUAAUACCCCGCUGUUCUGACGGUACCCAAAGAAUAAGCACCGGCUAACUUCGUG